This 1206-nucleotide ribosomal RNA is filed under the name Triticum aestivum (bread wheat). RNAcentral describes it as "partial small subunit ribosomal RNA". Lineage: Eukaryota; Viridiplantae; Streptophyta; Magnoliopsida; Poales; Poaceae. The record is from RNAcentral.
AUGGCGAUAAGUCAGCCCUGGCCGGUGGAGGAUGUUCGUGAGACGUUUUUCUCCUAUUUCGUGGAAAAUCAGCAUGUGCAGUUGUCAUCAACCCCGGUUAUCCCCGUAGUUGAUACCAAGGUGCCUCUUAUUCAUACAUGUUUGAACCGGUUCAAGGGGACCCUUAAUGGCAGAGGGAGUCAUCGCACCUGCUUUUCGCUGAGAUGCAUUACUGUGGGUGGUGAUGACGAUGAAGUGAUUGAUCACUUCAAAAACGACACUACUUACCAUAGAUUCACAGAAGUCCUUGGAAGUUGGUCUUUUGGGGACUACUUUAAGGAGGAAGCCAUCAGGUUAUUAUUCAGUCUUCUCAACAAGAAAUACAAGUUACCUCAGUCCAGAAUAUAUGCUUCAUACUUUAGUGGUGAUACGUCCCUUGGUUUGAGUUCAGACAAUGAGUCAAAAAAUACAUUGCAGAAAUACCUAGCGGAAGAAAGAAUCAUGCCUGCCAUGUCUAAGGCUGAUUUUUGGAUGACUGGUGAAACUGGUCCCUGUGGGCCAUGCAUUGGAUUUUUCUUCGAUUGUUCGGAUAGCAAAGAUGGUGUUGGUUCCGUAAUCAACAUAAAGGAUGGCAAAUUUAUUGAGAUAAGCCGUCUUGUUUUUGUUGAGUUCAAUAUGCAAGCAGGUGGCGUCUUGAAGCCUUUGCAAGCUAAGCAUGUCUUAACAGGGAUUAAUCUUGAAAGUUUAGCUGCCAUUCUUCAAAAUAAAGAAAGCCACUAUGAAUUAGAUGUCUACGAUGACAUAUUUUUCAGCAUGAGCUGUUGUACUGGUCGAGGAAUCCGGGACUACUCUGGUGAAGUUGGUGCUGCUGACACAGAUGGAGUUGAUACGGCAUACCGCCUCCUUGCAGAUCACAUAAGAAUGAUUGCUGUUACUAAUGCUCCUGGUUCUCAGCUUGGGUUUGGAAAUGAAGGUCGCGAGUAUUUCCUAUAUCGUGCCGAUAAACAGGCUGUGCAAUAUGGCCACGAAGUACUUAAGACAAAUCAAGAGAAAUACGAUGUUAUUAUUCAUGGCAUUCUUAUAUCUGAAGCUGAUUUAUGUCCUGAGCUUGAAGGGUACAGAAAAGUGGAUGAAAUAAUCGAAGAUGAAUUGAUGAUCUAUAAAAAAACCAUGGCGGAGGUCAGUGUGAAGAAGUCCGUGCAUAAUUUAAGGAAACACAUGAAAUAG